GGACAUGGCUCUGACAGCAACAAUGUAACACCCAUGCAACGAGUCUGCGAGGCCGAAUGGAAGCCAGCUGGCUGCAGGGGAGAGAGCAAGAGAGUCUGGCAGAAGGUGCACCUGGAGAAGGAAGUAGAGGCCAGGCCAGUGUGGAGGGAACUGGGAGGACCUGUCUGACCACAAACAACCCACCUGAGGAGGCCCUGCUGCUCCCGGAGGGUGCUCCUGCCAGAGUUCUCCUAGUUCCUUGCAAGGAGCCCUGGAAAAACAAUCCCACCCUGGGUCUAACAUAGUCUCGGGGACUUUUAAACCAAUGCCCAGCUAGAAAAAACAUCUCAGGCAGUUCGCGGAUAGAAGAGGAAAUAAUAUUAAGAGCCUGCCAUAUGUUGAAUGUUUACUAUGUCUCAGCAGCAUAUAAAUGCUUUAGUUUCUUACAGAA
RNAcentral lists this long non-coding RNA (430 nucleotides) under Homo sapiens (human). RNAcentral describes it as "HSALNT0302956". The record is from RNAcentral. Lineage: Eukaryota; Metazoa; Chordata; Mammalia; Primates; Hominidae.